AGAAUUAGCUCUGGUCCCACUAAAAGCAGGAGGAAUAAUUAAUUUUGUCUUUGAUUUUGUAUACAGAUUUUGUGUUUUCUCUCUGUUGCUGUCACCGUGUGAUGAAGCAGUAGCUCCCAACCUUUUCUGUGCUGCUCUCAGCUUUGUUUGUAGCUGGUAAACAAGAAACAGUAAUAUGCUUCCCUGUGGUAAUUGGAUUAAGGACAAGGCCUCCCUCUUUGUUUAAUAUUUCUGAGAAAAGCUGCCAAGGAUUAAAGCAAGAGCUUCCCGUGGUGAAAUCCUGCCCAGUCCCACGCUGGCUUUGCACACACACAAGGCUCAAUCUCUGCUGGAAUCCCAGUCACAGCCCCCAGAUCAAUGUGCAGUUUAAGGUCUCACAGCCUGACCAGGACAAUCUCUUUCCUCUGAACAUGGAAAAUCAGUUUUUCAUUGUUACAGCACCAGCUCAAGGUAAUUAUGAAGUGGUGUAAUGGUUUUUAAGUUGUGCACAUGGAGGAAAUUCACUGCAGCAGCCAACACUGCUCUGCCUUCACGGGCAACCCUGUGGGUUUGGGAUCUUGAAUUGUGGGUGUGAAAUCUCCUCACAGAAUCUUCUGAGGCUGAAACAAAGACAAGGAACCUUCUGAGAUGGAAAGAGCCAGAGCAAGUUGUUGUGGGAAAGGAAAAUUAAAGAUGGAUGUGGGCCAUGACAUGAAUUGGCUCCAACAGGGCCCAAGAUCCCUGUGGGGUCUGUGGCAGGGACAACUCCCAGAGCUGGACAGGGAAGGGAACCUUCACCCACACUCCCAAAAGCUGAGAAAGAAAAACACCUGCCUGCAGCUGGCUGCAGCUCCUGGAGCUCUGGGGAUUCUGGCACACUCAGGGACAUGGGAUGAUGCCACAAUCAUUCAAACCUUGGGAAUAAUGGAAUUAAUACCACCCCUUGAGCCUGUUCUAGGCAGGCUCCUGCCCAUCAGCCACUGGCUGCAGAUGGCUGGAGUGGAAGUGGAAUUGAUGGAGGCAUCCAGGAAAUGCUGAUUGUUUUUUUCUCACUUUGGCAAUCUGGUCAGGAAAAAUACGAAUUGACCUCUUCCAGCAGCGAAACAUUUAAGCAAGAGGUGCUGAAAAGAAUUGGAGUUUCUGAUUUUAAGUCUCCAACUUGAAAUUGUCUUUGGAUUGCCACUGGUCCAAGUUUCAUGGACUGGUCACUGUGGCCAGGAGUGUCCAAUCCUGCUGGGAAUGCACUGGACCAGGAUGUCAUUUUCACUUUAUACAGGUAAAGACCCUCUGGGUGACCCCUAGUGACUGGAAGGACCAGACUGGGCUCCCAUGGCACUAAUUCCAGGUGUUCUGUUUUUGGGAAUAGCACAGGAGCCUUUCCCUUACCCAGAGGAGCAGCCAGUGCCUUCCUUAGUCCAUAAAUCCCCAGGAUGGACCACAGAGAAAAUAACAGGAAUGUGGAAAUCCCCCACACAGGGAGUUUGUGGUGCUCUGGAUUACAUUUUGGAUUUAAAAUGUUAAAGAUGGGGUGUGGAAUGGCUUCUUUUUAUUGUCAUUGUUGUCACUGCUCUUGUUGCUAUCACUGUUAUCCACAGUUAUCACUGCUAUCACUGUCAGCAAUAUUAAAAUAUUGUAUUUGUCUUGGUUUCUGUUAUUAAACUGUUCUGAUCUCACCCCCUGAGCUGGAUUUUUGUCUCUGGUCUCUUCCCCAUCCCACGGGGGCGGGGGGUGAGGGAGCUGCUGGUGGUGCCCAGCUGUGUCUGCCCAUGGCCCGGGGCACUCCUGGAGCCUCUGAAGAUGAUGGACUGGAGCAGUUUUGGGGCUCAGAGGGACACCCAGUGCUGUAUUUGGGCUCAAAACUGGGCUCAUUUGACCAAGUACAGAAAUAGACAUGGGGGGUUUGAAACCAGGGUGCCUCAGACAGCAU
RNAcentral lists this long non-coding RNA (1906 nucleotides) under Lonchura striata (white-rumped munia). RNAcentral describes it as "domestica (Bengalese finch) lncRNA (ENSLSDG00000004348.1)". Lineage: Eukaryota; Metazoa; Chordata; Aves; Passeriformes; Estrildidae. The record is from RNAcentral.